ACGAAGCGACGCCGCGUGUGUGAUGAAGGCUCUAGGGUUGUAAAGCACUUUCGCUUGGGAAUAAGAGAGAUUGGCUAAUAUCCAAUCGAUUUGAGCGUACCAGGUAAAGAAGCACCGGCUAACUCCGUGCCAGCAGCUGCGGUAAUACGGAGGGUGCUAGCGUUAAUCGGAUUUAUUGGGCGUAAAGGGCGUGUAGGCGGAAAGGAAAGUUAGAUGUUAAAUCUUGGGGCUCAACCCCAAGCCAGCAUCUAAUACUAUCUUUCUAGAGGGUAGAUGGAGAAAAGGGAAUUCCACGUGUAGCGGUGAAAUGCGUAGAUAUGUGGAAGAACACCAGUGGCGAAGGCGCUUUUCUAAUUUACACCUGACGCUAAGGCGCGAAAGCAAGGGGAGCAAACAGGAUUAGAUGCCCUGGUAGUCCUUGCCGUA
RNAcentral lists this ribosomal RNA (426 nucleotides) under Chlamydia psittaci 84-8471/1. Its description in RNAcentral is "bacterial SSU rRNA". It matches the Rfam family "Bacterial small subunit ribosomal RNA", at positions 386 to 804 of the family's 1533-position model. Lineage: Bacteria; Pseudomonadati; Chlamydiota; Chlamydiia; Chlamydiales; Chlamydiaceae. The record is from RNAcentral.